CGGCAUCAGCGUGCUCCGGGCG
Molecule: non-coding RNA, 22 nt
Filed under: Arabidopsis thaliana (thale cress)
Lineage: Eukaryota; Viridiplantae; Streptophyta; Magnoliopsida; Brassicales; Brassicaceae
Source: RNAcentral